Molecule: transfer RNA, 58 nt
Filed under: Crocosphaera watsonii WH 8501
Lineage: Bacteria; Bacillati; Cyanobacteriota; Cyanophyceae; Chroococcales; Aphanothecaceae
Rfam family: tRNA
About the family: Transfer RNA (tRNA) molecules are approximately 80 nucleotides in length. Their secondary structure includes four short double-helical elements and three loops (D, anti-codon, and T loops).
Source: Rfam by way of RNAcentral
UUGGUAGCGCGCCUGCUUUGGGAGCAGGAUGUCGUAGGUUCAAAUCCUGCCAUCCCGA